Long non-coding RNA from Ictalurus punctatus (channel catfish), 1549 nucleotides. Lineage: Eukaryota; Metazoa; Chordata; Actinopteri; Siluriformes; Ictaluridae. The record is from Ensembl.
GUAUUUCAUAAAAUGUUUUCUUUAUUGAUAGUAAAAAUGAAAGUACAUGAAAUGUGCAUUUUGGACGUUCUAGCGUGCAGAGGUUAAGUCAAUAAACGUACACACAGGCUGAUCGGGCUACUGAUACUAGUAUGUUUGCAUGGACAGGAAAAAGAUCCCUCCAUAUUCCAUGCAGAUUAUGUUUUACCUUCAUGUUCACAUAGAAAUCUGUUCAAAAAAAGAGUGGAUGCAGUCCUCACAGGAAGUAGGAAAAUAAUAAUAAUAAUAAUAAUAAUAAUAAUAAUAAUAAUAAUAAUAAUAAUUGCACUGUUUAAUUAAACAACUGAUAAGGAUACAUAGACAGGAAGGAAUGUAUGUAUGUUAAUUUAUCAGGUUAUGAUAUUACAUGAUGUUCAAUGGAUUCAAUAGCAUUACUGGCUCAUUUUACUCCAUCCCAAAGUGUGGUGAACAUUUUAUAAAGAAAAUUGUUUGUUAAUUAUUCAUAGUUCCAAAUCAACACAUUCUGACUCAAUUCUGUCUUUCAUAAACUUUUGUUUUCUACCUGAGUUUUAAACCUGCCUUAAAGAUGGUUUAUUAAGGUAGCCCUUUAACAAUGAUUGAAGAUUUUUUUUUUUUUUUUUUUUUUUUUUAUAUUAUUGUCACAAGAAAGAAGUAACCAGUCCUACCAAAAGCCAGAUGUAUGGUAUGGAGAAAGAGAAGGGAAGUGGGUCCCUUGUGAGUGGCCACUGUUAUGUUGGAUAAGCAUCACCUCAGUGCCCUUCAGUGAACACCAAGCGGAUGAGCACUUCAGCUGUCACUGGCUAACUGCAUUAAUAGAAACUGCCCUUUACACACAUCUGUGACUAAGAUUCACGCAGUUACAGAUUGGUGUCAAAGAACAUUACAUCGCCAUCCAGACACUGGCUUCUAAACACCACUCAAAGCUGAUAUAUGUAGUGGUCAUUUAACACCUAUACCUAUGCUGAAUAUAUAUUUAUACUUGAAUGAUACUCAAAAAUGGCAAUAAUGACAACAUCACCAUUUCCUUUAGAACAAAACUGCUUCAAUUAUUGUCACUGCAUAUGAAACAAUUGUAAUAAGUCAAGCAUGAGUACUUUUUAAUAAAAGAAAUCCAUUUGGCAGACCAAAAAGCCAUGUGAGAGAAACUAGACGUGAAGAAAUGCAGAGUCUUCCGAGUAUGUGCCUAUUUUUGUGACAACAUGCCUAAGCAGUCCAGGGUACUUCUGCCGUUUAAAUAUUAAUUUAAAAAUAGCUGAAAUAGCUCAGUGGCAAACCAAAAGGUGAAAGGAAUAUUUUUGGUACAAAGCAUCUACAAAAAAGCAGUACAAGUAUAAUGGGAAAAGGAGAGCAUAUAAAAUAAAUUCCAUCAGUUGAGCAUCAGUGCUAUGUAUAUUACUGUAUUUGGACCAAUUUUCAUAUAUAUAUAUUUUUUAUAACAAAAUAAAUAAUGCCUUUAUACAGUGCCCAUAUUUGUACUUAAACAAACAAACAAAAAGCUUGGCGGCUCAUUAUGCAAGAUACAGCUCAGACUAAAAGAAUAUAACAUGAC